Long non-coding RNA from Gallus gallus (chicken), 2048 nucleotides. The record is from Ensembl. Lineage: Eukaryota; Metazoa; Chordata; Aves; Galliformes; Phasianidae.
UGUUUUCAGCCUUGUAAGGAUGUCUUUGCACACACUGGCGGAGUUGGUUUUGACUCAUCUCCUUCAGUCCUAGCACCACGUAUUGCUAGUUAAUUCAUAGUUAUGAUGAGCCUGUCAGAUGUAACAGCCUCUAAAUGGUUUUGGAAGAAAAAAAAAAGCCAUUUCUAUAAGCUCUUUUUUUCCUCUUUUUGACUACUUUUGACUACUUUUGCACUUCCUGUACAUAUAAAGGUCUGUCUUUCCAACAAACUGAACUGUAUAAGCUCCAGUGCUGCUGGACUAUACUAGCUUCCUUUGUCCAUAACAAGAACUAGCUGGAGUGCAGAAGCUUUACCCAGACCAGAUGUUCCAGCAGCAGGGCAGUGUAAGGGAUAACCCAGGGCACAACCCUGAGUGGAGAUGUGCACUGAACCACACAGCACUACAUAUCUAUGCUAGGAAAGAAUAAAGGAAACUUAAACGUAUUUUAGGCUCUUAUGCGUCUGGACUAGCAGUAGAUGAGGAACACAAACCUCACUGAAGUAUAUACAAAAAUGGUUCUGUUCAGGCUAAAAAGAGGAGUAAAUAUGACAAUUUGCAUGUGCUUUUACACUGAUUUGAGAGCUGAAGUAGGACUUGGAGAUUCACAAGCCUCAUCCUGGCCCUACACCCAGCAAUGAACUUCUCUCUGAAAGACUAAAUUGCAUUCUUAUGAUAAAUGUUAAUAUGCUGUUAUCCUAACAGUAUGGCAAUGUAAUGAUACAGAGAAGAAAAAGAACACCGUAUGCAGAACAGUCACUAACCUGAAAGACAAUAAACAUUGCAAAGGAUAACAUUAAAUAAUUGAAAUGAUGCCAGUAGACUUUUUCACAAUACAUCAUCUACCUUAAUAGCACUUAGUUAUAGAUAUUCAAUAGAAUAUACCAUGUAAACAUUAAGACUGUUGAUUAUGUUAGUAUUUACCAAAUGCCAGCAUGCAUGAUAAUUAUGAAAGUGGAUAUUUACAUACCACCUAGAACUGGAUGUUUACUAUGCCAUGAGACUGGCUCACCAAAAAAAAAAUUUAGAAAACCAUAUAAUUGAGGGUAUGGAACACUGUUGAUUUACAACAUUAGAACAGAGCAAAAAAACAGAGGCAGAAAUGGAAAUAUUUUACACUACACUACAUGGUGUACACAAUCUAUUAAUCCGUAUAGACAGUGCAUCAAAUACAUCUGAACGACAGAGCAACAUAAAUCUCAAUUUUAUGUUUUCCUCUCCAAGUUGCUGAUAAAAAUAAAAAAGCACAAUACUGAUUUUAUAAAUAAUACAUACAUCAGUACAGAUGUAAGUACAGAUACAUAACUGUGUCUGAAUUUUAUGUGAUAUUUAAGACUACAGUGAGAGAGAAUAUUGUGUCUCUGGGCAAUCAAACACCAACUGAAGCAAUACUAAACAAAAGGAGAAAAAGAGUCCGAAAAUACACAGUGUAAAAAAAGUAUCACCUUGCAAGUCAGACUGCCUCAACCCAAAAAGCUGCUUUUAUCUGGAUCAAUGUUUGUGAUGUCAGAGACUGCAGCCUGACACAGUGAAGGAGACAGUUACGGACCACGGCAGCUACCACAGUUCAUUGCUGUCAGCCCUUAGGGAAGUUGUAAAGCUCUCAGCACAUAUUCCCAAGGGACCAUAAAGUUCCCCCUUUGCUUAUCAAUAAUCAAAGGAACCUUUUAAAUAAAGUCAAGCAAACUGUAUAACGUAACAAGCUUUAUAAGAAAACAAUCCCGCUCAGCAUAAGCAGUUUUGUCUAACAGAAUAACCUGAAGUUUGCCAUAGAUUCAUUUCACUGUCCACUUCAUUGGACAGGCUCAAAGACAGGGCAUUUGUUUACUUAUUUGCCUCCUGGCCACCCAUGAAUUAGGUCAUGGGUGUCCAACCUUUCGGCUUACCUGGGCUGCACAGAGUGAAAAGGAAUUGUCUAGGGCUGCAUCUACGGAAGUUGCUCUGCAAGUAAUGUCUCCUAAUUAUUUCCAUGGAAACUAUAGUUAAUACAAAGAGCACAAUAAAACUAUUUAAUAGAGCAAAUUCUCAGC